GUGUCAGCAGCCGCGGUAAUACGAAGGGGGCUAGCGUUGUUCGGAAUUACUGGGCGUAAAGGGCGCGUAGGCGGCUCUGUGCGUCGGGCGUGAAAGGCCUGGGCUCAACCCAGGAAUGGCGCUCGAUACGGCGGAGCUCGAGUGUGGGAGAGGAUGGUGGAAUUCCCAGUGUAGAGGUGAAAUUCGUAGAUAUUGGGAAGAACACCGGUGGCGAAGGCGGCCAUCUGGACCACAACUGACGCUGAGGCGCGAAAGCGUGGGGAGCAAACAGGAUUAGAUACCCGUGUAGUCC
This 292-nucleotide ribosomal RNA is filed under the name uncultured bacterium. RNAcentral's name for it is "partial 16S ribosomal RNA". It matches the Rfam family "Bacterial small subunit ribosomal RNA", at positions 505 to 796 of the family's 1533-position model. The record is from RNAcentral.